UUGUGUUGUCGUGUGCUUGUCUUUUUGUUGUGUUUCUAAAAGCCUAAAAUUAUUUUAUAGAAAAUCUACUUUGGGUUUGACAAAUUAUUCUGGGUUUGAUUAAACCUAGCUUUUGCGAAAAACUAAAUUUGCAAAACCUAUAUUUUGUUUGAGGCUUUUGUUGGCCCAAAAGCCCACUUAGGCAAACCCUAACCCUAACUAUUUAAUCCCCUCUCCCUUUUCCUUUUCUUUUUCUUUUUCUUUCUCCCCUUCUUCCUCCUGCCACUGCCACUGCCACCUUCUUCUCCCCUUUCUUCUUCCUUCUUCCCCGCUGCCUUCUUCCAUGGCCGACGCCCCCCUUCCUCCUGAGCUCGCUCCCCACGCGCGCCCCCGGCGCCUCUCUCUCCCGAGCCUCAAGCGCCUGCUGCCUCCCCGCGCGCGCGCCUCCCGCGUCCACCUUGCCGGCCGCUCCGCCCUCUGCGUCGCCGAGCCCCUCUUCACCGGAGCCGCCUCCCCGUCGGCCACGUCCGCCCCACGCGCCGCUCUCGCUCUCCUCACGGCCUUGCCUCGCGCGCACCUCCCGCUCGCCCCCUCCUCUGUUCUCUGUCGCGUGCGCCGCCAGCGCCCAGCUCCGUCGUCGGGGACCGACCUCCCGUGCCCAGAACUCCCCACGCCUGCCCGUGCCUCCGCCUGGCCGCCCGGGCGCCCCCUCUCCCCCGAGCGCCGCCUCCACCUCGUCGCCGCGUCCGCCCCGCGCGAUUCCUCUGCCCUUCUCUAGUUCUAGCUCCUUUAGACUCUUCAAGCUCUUUUUCAGACUUUUGAGCUGUUUCUCACUAAGAUCUAGGCGCCAUUCUCUUCCAAGAUCAUAAAUAAGUUGUGGCGUAUGCGUCUCGCCAACUUCGUUUUCACGAACAUACAACUAUCCGACUCAUGAUCUUGAAUUCUUGCACUCUCUCUCAAAGUCUAGUGACAUUACUUGCUCGGCAACCGUUGCAAAAUCUUUUUCGAGAAACAAAUCCUCAAGUAUGUUUUCACCACAUGAUCUUAAUCUCAGACCGUGACGCUGAAUGGAGAACAUCGAAGACUUUGUUUUGACAAUUUCACACUUCGGGCAAAGCUAUUGUUAUGGCUGACGCCUUAGUCGCAAAUCUUUUUGCAACAACCUCGUGUUUAAGGUUUGCCAACCUGCUCUGCAUGAGAAACUUGUGAAACUGAACCUUGAACUCAUUCCACGAGGUUAUCUUGCCAACCUGAUUGUUAAGUCAACGUUGGAAGAAAAAUUCGGAAUGCUCCACUUUUUGUUUCUCCUUGCCCAUAAGCUCAUUUAUGAGAUUAUUGUUGGUAAUUCCGUGUCCAAGAGUUUCACGACUGAUGACAAAGGGAUUGUGUUCUUUAAGGAUGCAUUGUUGUUCCUAAUCAUCAAGGUCGAAGAGAUUUCUUUCUCAAAGAUGCUCAUGGCACUCCUCUCCUUUUUCACCCAGUUGCACUAAAAUCAAGACUAUGGACUUGGUAUAUGCACCUGGUGAUCAAUCUUUCUUCGUGUUACUUCAUUGCAAGGUACACACCAUUCCGGUACCCAGGACAUGUUUGAUCUGCGAUACAUUCGUAUUUUCAAGUUUCUUGUUUGCUUCAACCUUCCUCCAACCUCUCCAAGGUGCACGUUGUGUUUCACGUGUCCUAUGCUCUGCUUCGCUUCUAUAUCUAGUCCUUGACCUUCCUAACCGGAGCGUCUGGUUCACAUCCUUCGUGAAGCCGAAUGUCGCUCUUCGACAAGACCGUCAACCUCUUCAAGGACAAGCGUUGCAACGUGAAGACCAUCGUUGAACCGAGUAUUCCACUUCCUUCCUUUCCUUCUUUUGGAAUCUCGGGACGCGAUUCCUUUGAGGGGGGGAGAGUUGUAACAGCAAGAGAGCAACCCUUUUCUUUUAAGCCCUUUUGGACUGUUUUGUAAUUUAAUUAUCUUCAUCAUCUGUCAUGCUCAUGUCAUCAUAAUUAUGUUUGCCAUGUCAUUAGCAUCAUGUCGCGUGAAAUAAUUAUUCGUUCGCACGAAAUGUCACUUCUUUGUGUUGUCGUGUGCUUGUCUUUUUGUUGUGUUUCUAAAAGCCUAAAAUUAUUUUAUAGAAAAUCUAAUUUGGGUUUGACAAAUUAUUCCGGGUUUGAUUAAACCUAGCUUUUGCGAAAAACUAAAUUUGCAAAACCUAUAUUUUGUUUGAGGCUUUUCUUGGCCCAAAAGCCCACUUAGUCAAACCCUAACCCUAGCUAUUUAAUCCCCUCUCCCUUUUCUUUUUCUUUUUCUUUCUCCCCUUCUUCCUCCUGCCGCCGCCACCUUCUUCUCCCCUUUCUUCUUCCUUCUUCCCCGCUGCCUUCUUCCAUGGCCGGCGCCCCCCUUCCUCCUGAGCUCGCUCCCCACGCGCGCCCCCGUUGCA
RNAcentral lists this long non-coding RNA (2405 nucleotides) under Brachypodium distachyon (stiff brome). Its description in RNAcentral is "long non-coding RNA (BDIS_LNC000811)". The record is from RNAcentral. Lineage: Eukaryota; Viridiplantae; Streptophyta; Magnoliopsida; Poales; Poaceae.